This 272-nucleotide ribosomal RNA is filed under the name uncultured Prevotella sp. RNAcentral's name for it is "partial 16S ribosomal RNA". It matches the Rfam family "Bacterial small subunit ribosomal RNA", at positions 83 to 356 of the family's 1533-position model. Lineage: Bacteria; Pseudomonadati; Bacteroidota; Bacteroidia; Bacteroidales; Prevotellaceae. The record is from RNAcentral.
CCUUGAUGACGACUGGCGCACGGGUGAGUAACGCGUAUCCAACUUCCCAUAACUACGGGAUAACCCGUUGAAAGACGGCCUAAUACCGUAUGACANCGUUUGCUGACAUCAAAUAACGAUUAAAGGUUUAGCGGUUAUGGAUGGGGAUGCGUCUGAUUAGCUUGUUGGCGGGGUAACGGCCCACCAAGGCUACGAUCAGUAGGGGUUCUGAGAGGAAGGUCCCCCACAUUGGAACUGAGACACGGUCCAAACUCCUACGGGAGGCAGCAGUG